This is a long non-coding RNA of Drosophila miranda, 923 nucleotides long. RefSeq lists it as uncharacterized. The record is from RefSeq and is a predicted model, not a curated record. Lineage: Eukaryota; Metazoa; Arthropoda; Insecta; Diptera; Drosophilidae. The transcript is spliced from 3 exons.
CCAAAGCCUCCGUCUUCUGCAGAGAAUGUUCUGGAAGCUUUUCAAGACGAAAAUAUUAUGAACCGUUUUGGAAUAACCAAGGGAAAUACUGCAAAUCAGUUCUAUAAAAAAGUGUACGCAUCGAGCUCGUUUGCUUAUUGCAUAUUUUCAUCAGACAAGGUAAUCACCUUGAUGCAAGCCAACAUUCCGGAGCAUAAUAGGCAUUAUUUAAUUGAUGCUACAUUUAAAGUGUGCCCUUUUGGAGAUUUUAAGCAACUUUUAAUAAUUUAUAUUAAAUAUUUGCAGAAGAUAACCCCUUUUGUUUUUGUUUUGAUGACUCGCAAAACGGAGCUGUGUUAUCAGCACUUAUUCACAUAUAUAGACUCGAACAUUUGCUGCCUUAAAGGAGCAUCCUUUAUAUCAGAUUACGAAAAGGCAAUGCGUAACGCGUUAAAAGGUCUGCAUCCCAACAUGAAUUUUUACGCCUGUUGGUUUCAUUUUACUCAAGCAUGCAAGAAAAAUGCCAAGCAAUCGAGUGGUUUUGAAAAUACGCUGAAAUGCAAUAAGAAAGCUUACAUGCUAUUUAUGAAAUUUUUGCACUUGCCGCUUUUACCAGAAAGCAAAAUUGUCGAAGCAUUUAACCUUCUAAAAGGCGAAGCAAUAAACUUAAAUAAGAAGCUGUUUUCUCCAUUUUUAAAAUAUUUUAAUAGACAGUGGCUUAAAAAGGAGGGACCAAAAAGCAUAUCCGUGUUUAAGAGGUCAACUAGAACCACGAGCUCAGUAGAAGCUUAUAAUUUGAAUUUGGGAAAUAAAAUUCGAGCAAAUGGGCACUUUUUUAAAUUUGUUCAAUGUCUUAUUGAUGCAGAAUAUGAAAAAAGUCGCGAGUUUGCUUUACUCUUUCAAAAUGGUGGUAAUGGAAAUCAGACACAGAAGAAGAAAUUACG